AAACCGCAGUUCGCCGCCGCCGCCGCCGGGCACCCAGCCCCAGGGGGGCGGGCUGGAGGGAGGGGGCGGGCGCUGGCCGGGGGACCCCCGCAACCAUGGCGGGCGGGGAGUGGGCUGCCGAGCCGCUUCACCUGCCGCAGAGGGGGCGGCCGGCGCCGCUUCACCUGCCGGAGCGGGAGGCCACCGAGGCGAGGCCGAGGCGGCGGCGCGCUCGGCGGCGCCUCCGGGUCCUAGAACCGCAUCCUCCCGCUCGCCUCGGGCGAGGGAUUGGCCGGGUCUGGGUGAAGGGGAUCACGGCCUGGGGAUUGGAGGGGCACAUCUUCUCCGCACCGAGGAUCUCAGCGACUGCGAGCACGGCUCGGAGACCCACGGUGGUGCAGCGUUGGGGCGCCAGGGCUGCGUUCCCGUCUCGCGUCCCGGACUGAGAAGAAAUACUUUCAGAGCUCUUUCAUUCAUCCUGACAAUGGCCAGAGAAGAGCCACUGACAAGACUUUAAGCAAGAGACGGAGAGUUAACAUCUAAUCUGGAGGAAGACCCUGGAAGGAGCCAGCCCCUUCCCCCAGGCUGACCUGGUUUAAGCCUUUCUUCUGCCAAGGUCACCAGCACCCCAGAUGGGUGAGAGAUGUGAUCACUGGUUUCGUGGCCUGACCAAGGACCUCCAAGGUGAGUCAAAGCAGAAUUCUCCUUGGGCAUGCAGGGAAAAUGAUCCAUUCCCUGCACACUGCCAUAUUCUCCUUCUCAGACAGACCAGAGCCUUGCCCUUGGGUCCUUGCCCUUGAGAUUAGCUAGGACCUCCUCCUCUUCUUCUCCUUCUUUCUUCUUCUUCUUGUCUCUAUAAGAUAACUGUCGUGGAAGACUUUUUUUUUUCUUUUAAGAUGGAGUCUCUCGCUGUUGCCCAGGCUGGAGUGCAGUGGCUCGGUCUCAGCUCACUGCAACCUCCACCUCCCAGGUCCAAGCAAUUAUCCAGUCUCAGCCUCCUCAGUAGCUGGGACCACAGGUGCGUGCCACCACACCCAGCUCAUUUUUGUAUUUUUAGUAGAGACGGGGUUUUGCUAUGUUGACCAAGCUGGUCUCGAACUCCUGACCUCAAGUGAUCCGCCUGCCUCGGCCUCCCAAAGUGCUGGGAUUACAGGCAUGAGGCACCCCGUCCAGCCUGGAAGACUUUUUUUUUUAAUGAAUAAAAACACAUUUUUUUA
This 1196-nucleotide long non-coding RNA is filed under the name Homo sapiens (human). Its description in RNAcentral is "HSALNT0390108". Lineage: Eukaryota; Metazoa; Chordata; Mammalia; Primates; Hominidae. The record is from RNAcentral.